This 433-nucleotide ribosomal RNA is filed under the name Gephyromantis enki. RNAcentral describes it as "partial 16S ribosomal RNA". It matches the Rfam family "Bacterial large subunit ribosomal RNA", at positions 1997 to 2597 of the family's 2925-position model. The record is from RNAcentral. Lineage: Eukaryota; Metazoa; Chordata; Amphibia; Anura; Mantellidae.
UGGCACCACGAGGACUUUACUGUCUCCUUUUUCUAAUCAGUGAAACUAAUCUUCCCGUGAAGAAGCGGGAAUAAAUAGAUAAGACGAGAAGACCCCAUGGAGCUUUAAGCUUACUGCACCUCUAUUUUCUAUAACCUCUUAUUAAACGGAAUACUGCUUACUUAGCUUUAGGUUGGGGCGACCGCGGAGUAUAACAUAACCUCCAUGAUGAACAAAACUAUUUUCUUAUCUAAGAACAACAGUUCUAAGAAUUAGUAUUCUAACAUAAAAUGAUCCGAUAAUCGAUCAACGGACUAAGUUACCCUGGGGAUAACAGCGCAAUCCAUUUCAAGAGCCCCUAUCGACAAAUGGGUUUACGACCUCGAUGUUGGAUCAGGAUAUCCUAGUGGUGCAGCAGCUACUGAAGGUUCGUUUGUUCAACGAUUAAAAUCCU